UACGUAGGCAGCGAGCGUUGUUCGGAGUUACUGGGCGUAAAGAGUGCGUAGGCGGUUUUCUAAGUUUGGUGUGAAAUCUCCCGGCUUAACUGGGAGGGUGCGCCGAAAACUGGAAGGCUUGAGUAUGGGAGAGGUAAGCGGAAUUCCUGGUGUAGCGGUGAAAUGCGUAGAUAUCAGGAGGAACACCUGCGGUGUAGACGGCUUACUGGACCAUAACUGACGCUGAGGCACGAAAGCGUGGGGAGCAAACAGG
Molecule: ribosomal RNA, 253 nt
Filed under: uncultured bacterium
Lineage: Bacteria
Description: partial 16S ribosomal RNA
Rfam family: Bacterial small subunit ribosomal RNA
Source: RNAcentral